GAUGAACGCUGGCGGCGUGCCUAACACAUGCAAGUCGAACGGAAAGGCCAUGAUUUUGUGGGGUGCUCGAGUGGCGAACGGGUGAGUAACACGUGAGUAACCCGCACUUGACUUUGGGAGAACUUCAGGAAACUGGGGUUAAUACCGGAUAGGAGAUCUUGCAGCAUGGUGGUGGUUGGAAAGUUUCGGCGGUUUGGGAUGGUAUCGCCGCUUAUGAGCUUGUUGGUGGUGUAGUGGAUUACCAAGGAUUCGAAGGGUAGCCCGCCUGAGAGCGUGACCGGGCACCCUGCGACUGAGAUACGCCCCAGACUCCUACGUUCGGCAGUAGGCGGGAAUAUUGCACAGUGGCCGGGCGCCAGAUGCAGCAACCCCGCGUGCGUGAUGCCGGCCUUCUGGUUGUGAACCACUUUCGCCUUUUACGUGGCGUUAGUGACGGUAAUUAGUAAAAAAGCACCGGCUAACUACGUG
This 468-nucleotide ribosomal RNA is filed under the name uncultured bacterium. Its description in RNAcentral is "partial 16S ribosomal RNA". It matches the Rfam family "Bacterial small subunit ribosomal RNA", at positions 28 to 507 of the family's 1533-position model. The record is from RNAcentral.